Molecule: long non-coding RNA, 1492 nt
Organism: Dreissena polymorpha
Lineage: Eukaryota; Metazoa; Mollusca; Bivalvia; Myida; Dreissenidae
Exons: 4
Source: RefSeq, a predicted model, not a curated record
UUAUUGGAACAAUUACUGUGUAUUUUAGGUACGUUUUGUGCAUAAAGGCUCUAGACAUAAGAGCGAUGUUGUACUGGAAGUCCGUUAGAACACGGUGGUAAACCGUCAGUUUCUUAUUGCAAAAAAUGAGAUAAUUUAAUUUUUGUGAACACAAGGGUACAACGCAAACAAUUACAAAUGCGGUUACCACAUCUUCACCAACACAGUCCUCGACUGUCGCGUCCACUAAAAGCGUUACCUCUGCUGUCUCGUAUGUUUCUAUUGCAUCGAAUGCAAGUAAAUCAACCGCUGAAAUAGUUCAUUACGGCUGCGCACCAACUGUCUUCUUGCAUGCUGCUUCGCACCAUGGUAAACUGUUCACGAUUGGUCAGACAUGCUACGAGCUUGUGACGGAGACAAAAUCUUGAUCCAGCGCUGAAAGUGACUGCAAAAGUCGUGGCGGACAUUUAGUCGACAUUGCAAACGACGAACAACAGAAUAAAAUCUACGAGAUCGUGAGACAGUAUCAUGGUGACAAUGUUUGGAUUGGACUCAACGAUAAGGACAUGAUGUAAACUAUACGCACUGGUACCCUGGUCGCAAAACGUCGCGCCUCAAAGCGAUGCAGAUUGUGUGGCCAUGGUGAUGGCCCAUGGUGGACAAUGGAACGAUGUGCAUUGUAGUGGACUAAACGCCAAAUAUAUAGGAAACGUUUGUGAAUUCGGUAAUGGGAAAACUGCCUGCCCAAAUGGCGAAGUAUAUUAUCAAUGAAAAAUAGUACCCAUUGAUGCAAUACUUUCUUGGCCAUCUUAAAUUUGGGUUGUUGAUUGUAAACAUUAUAUUUAGUUUCAAAGUAUGUAUAAACAACAUGGUGUCUUUUAAUUAAAAUCAUUCGAGCGAAGGAUUUUUCCGUUUUUAUUACAUGGGUUCUUUCUAACCAAAGUGACUGCUUUGUGAUUGUUUUAUUACUGACGAUGUAUAAAAAGAAGAUAUUAUCUUUAUGGUUAUACGGUUACACCGGUUUUUAAAAACGUGUUAAUGAAUUGUAUAAAGGAGUUUAACAGCUAGAUAAUUAAUAAUGCAACAUUAUGCAAUAUCCAGUAUCAUUUUAAUUUGACGUGAGAUAUUAUUGCAACGUCAUAAAAAUCACUCAAUACCUAAUGAAAUGCGUUGUGGCAUUAUUUGACAGCAAUAUUCAAUAAAUGUCGCAUUUCAUCACUGACCCACUACUAUAGUUUGCAGAUGAAGUAGCAAUAACUAGCAAUCCAGAGUUUCCAGUUUCGAUGAACACUGAUGAUAGGUAUCGCAAAUCGCAGGUUCUUUGCUGAGUUUGAAUAUGUGCGUAUUUAACAUAUUUUUAAUAUAUUGUUCGGUUUUCUUGUGUAUAAUAUUCCAAAUAAUACUGUCACACUUAGGCAACACGACGCUCUGUCCUAGAAAAGCGUCUUCAAUCGUUGCACAAUUCGGUUAAAGCUGUUACGAUUUGUACCGCGACGUCGAGGUUUGGAGUCAC